RNAcentral lists this transfer RNA (82 nucleotides) under Candidatus Rifleibacteriota bacterium. Its description in RNAcentral is "tRNA-Leu". It matches the Rfam family "tRNA". Rfam says of the family: Transfer RNA (tRNA) molecules are approximately 80 nucleotides in length. The record is from RNAcentral. Lineage: Bacteria; Candidatus Rifleibacteriota.
GCUGGGAUGGUGGAAUUGGUAGACACGCACGUUUGAGGGGCGUGUGGCGCAAGCCUUACGGGUUCAAGUCCCGUUCCCAGCA